This 477-nucleotide ribosomal RNA is filed under the name uncultured bacterium. RNAcentral's name for it is "bacterial SSU rRNA". It matches the Rfam family "Bacterial small subunit ribosomal RNA", at positions 28 to 524 of the family's 1533-position model. The record is from RNAcentral.
GACGAACGCUGGCGGCGUGCUUAACACAUGCAAGUCGAGCGGUAAGGCCCUUUCGGGGGUACACGAGCGGCGAACGGGUGAGUAACACGUGGGUGACCUGCCCUCAGCUCUGGGAUAAGCCUGGGAAACCGGGUCUAAUACUGGAUAUGACUCCAUGACGCAUGUUGUGGGGUGGAAAGCCUUGUGCGGCUGAGGAUGGGCCCGCGGCCUAUCAGCUUGUUGGUGGGGUGANGGCCUACCAAGGCGACGACGGGUAGCCGGCCUGAGAGGGCGACCGGCCACACUGGGACUGAGACACGGCCCAGACUCCUACGGGAGGCAGCAGUGGGGAAUAGUGGACAAUGGGCGAAAGCCUGAUCCAGCCAUGCCGCGUGAGUGAAGAAGGCCUUAGGGUUGUAAAGCUCUUUCAGCGGGGAANAUAGUGACGGUACCCGCAGAAGAAGUCCCGGCUAACUUCGUGCCAGCAGCCGCAGUAAC